Molecule: long non-coding RNA, 1108 nt
Filed under: Mytilus galloprovincialis (Mediterranean mussel)
Lineage: Eukaryota; Metazoa; Mollusca; Bivalvia; Mytilida; Mytilidae
Source: RNAcentral
GGGCGGUCCUAUGUUUUGCAUUCAACAACUAUUACAUUUUCAAGAUGGCCACUAAGGAUGGCAAAAAAAAAAGUCGUCAUCUUUAUUUCCUGUCAGUGGUAAACAUGUAAAUGAAAAAUAUGAAAAAAAGUGGUAUGAUUGCCAAUUAGAAUAAAUGACAUACAACUUAUAUGUAAGCUAUAAGUCUUCAUAUGCCAUAUGGCCUUCAACAAUGCACAAGACCAAUACUGCAUAUCUAUUCAGCCAUAAAAGGCCAAAAAAUUGGAAAAUGAAAAAAUAUGAAAGCUAACAGCCUGAUCUAUAUAUGUACAUGUAUGUUUUGUGAUUUUCAGAUCUAGACUCACAGCUAACUGAACUUUACAGCAGUCAACAUCAGAUUGGAAGACUGAUAAUGCUUCUGACAGAAACAAUUUCAACCAACCAAACAAGUAACAGAAACUUUGCAUCUUUAAAACACUACUUACAUCUUCCAUGGGAUGAUGUUCCAAAAAAUAACAGUUCAUCAUUAAUGAAGAUUUUUAUGUUAUGGAUUUUCUUUUACAAGAAAGUUAAUGUACACUUGUUUUUAUAGUAAAACCUUGCUGUUCAAGUAUCAAAAAAACAUUUAACUUUAUUGAAAUUUGAAGAUUCAUAUGACUUGUUUUAAUUUUGUUAUUUCUCAGGAUGUCAUGUAGAGGUACAGUCAUGACAGUAAUCUAAACAGCUAUUCAAUUUCAUUCAAAAUUCUUUGAAAAUUUGGCACUAGUAAAUAUAAACUGAAGUAAUUUGUUUUUCGUCUAGUUAUGGGAUUUUUAUGGCCAGUAACAAAGUAGUCGGUGCCUUAAGUUUUACCCUUGUACUAAAAUACCGAUUUUCCGUAAUUCCAUAAUUCAGUCAUUCCGAAACAAACCAUUAUACAGUGUUUUUUUCUAAACGCCAUAGAUAUUGGCCUGAUUUUUGGUAUGUAAGUUGACUAUGAUGAGUUACAGAUCAAGUAUAAGUUUUGUUCCACUCCCCUAAUUUCUGUUGAAAUUACCCGCUAUGGACUUUGAUAAAUUGUUGAAAAUCACAGUUAUAUGCACUUUUUUCCUAAAAGCUUUCAGAUAUUGGGCUGAUUUUUGGUAUGUGA